Long non-coding RNA from Eriocheir sinensis (Chinese mitten crab), 1012 nucleotides. RefSeq lists it as uncharacterized. Lineage: Eukaryota; Metazoa; Arthropoda; Malacostraca; Decapoda; Varunidae. The record is from RefSeq and is a predicted model, not a curated record. The transcript is spliced from 3 exons.
ACUUUAGUCUUUCUAUCUUUUUUCAGAAGAGACGUCGUCGACUAGCUCUGAUCGAUCAGAUGUCGGUUUCUCUCAACCAGACCCCAGCGAUAUUGGAAGUUGUUCUCCACGGGCGGGUCUCAGCGACGAAGCCAGUCAAAACCAAAGGACUAUCUCCGAAGAAGGCGGGUCUGGUAGGCUCAGCCAUUGGCCCUCCUCUUCAGCGAUCGGUAGUGGACGAAAACGAAAACAAGCGAAUACAGGAACAAACGACACCUGCAGGAAAAAGCAAGCCCGUCGUGAGGGAUUCUCCCAUCCAAACAGUUCUCCACAGCCAGGACCCAGCGGUUAUAACCCGGGACGGCCGACAACAACACCCUCACCAACACCCGGUGAAAUAAGCCAACAUUUCAACGGGGCCUUAACAACGAUCGACGUGCCCGUCCCACCAGCAGACAACGGCGACAUUGCAUCAUAUUUCAACAACAACACUGGCCGUCUUCGCGAGGCAGUAGAGUCUGUAUUCCAAGGCUGCCAGCAGGUUAAACCUCCUUCUUUUAAAGUGUACGUUGACAUGCAUCUGCGUUUAGUCAGAGAAGACCCCGACGGUGGAGUUCAAUAUAGAGAUAUGUAUAUGAGAAGUCAUAUGCAGGUAAUUAGCUAUGACGAUAUAGAUUCAUAUGUACGUGAACUAUCCGAAUAUUUUGUUAAUCGGUUUGAACAUGACAUGUCAGACGAAGAGGGCAGUGGAUUUACGUUAGAUGAAAUAGUUAGCGUAAAAUUUUCCUUCUCUCUUAUAAUGCUGCACAAUAGUAUUGGAGAGUAUGUGCCCUAUCCUAAGGGUGUUCCAGGGAAAACACAAGUUCUCAACCCUUCGGGACCCACGGACUGUGUUUUCCAAGUUCUAACAGCUUAUCGCUAUCUAAAGUCAAGAAAUGUAGUUCCAUCGGGCAGGCAAUGGGAGAAUGCUUGCUUGGCCUCUAUUAAUACGGGUAACAUUCCAACCCCGGUAUCCUGGGAAGACCUCGGUCGG